ACGCUUUGACCAUCUACCCUGUCUCCUAACCCCCAUCCUUCUUAGGCCUGGCAGAAUUUGGCUCUUAACCUUUUCAUGGCCUGGGCCAAGACAAAUCUUGAUUUUUUUUUUUGUUUUGUUUUGUUUUGUUUUUUUUUUUUUUUUUUUUCCCAUUUGUAAAGUAGGAGAUAAUUGCAAAGUAGGGAGUUUAUCUCUGAAUGGAACUGAAAUAUGACUAUGACUAGAAACUGCUACGGUUAGCUACUUUGCUUUAGCUAUAAAGCAAUAUUUCAUUUAGUAAUUUAAUUAACAAUGGGAUAUUCAUUUAUCAGGGUGACUCUGCUUGGGACUGUAUGUGGGGAAGAGACAGAGAUGUGGGGCUGCAGCUGGGGAGCUCCUGCCUACCUGCAGGGCUCGGGUGGUGGGAUCUUGCGAGGCGCCAACCCAAGCAUUCCUGUGCAGUACCUGCUCCACCCUCCUUCCCCUUCCAGAACCCCAUCUGCCAAACACAAUUUGUCGUCAGUCUAAACAUGUGUAUCUGAUGUUGGAUCCUGGAGCUGGCACGAAGCUGAGGAGCUGUUGUGUGGUCGCCUGAGACUGAAGCACCGCACUGAAGAGAGAGGGAGGGAGCCAGAUGGAUGUCUUGUGCGUGAAGUAUGAAGCUUGACAAGUCUGGCAUUACACACUCUGAUACUACAUUUGACUGAGUCAGCUUUUGAUCUGAGUUACACCAUGAUAAAUCUAUGUAACUCCACUGAGGUUUACUUAACAAAGUUAAGUAUUAAGGUUUAUGUUAGUCGAGUUACUCUGUGUUUUACCGGAUGCAACUAAGAUCAAAAUCCUCUCUGAAUUAUAUUGGUUUUAAUUUUAAGCAAUCAAAAUUUAAACAACAAAUUCUGCAAGUGUGUGGAAUGUUGAAAAGACAAACUCUCUUUUCACUUAUAUCUGUCUAAGCUGAGCACUUAGGAUUUGAUACAGGUUCAGUUAAGACUGAAUGUGUCCGUAGAUGUGUAUUUUAAACAAGACUCAAACUGUGGUUUGGUGAGUCUCACCUCAGACUAUAGCUUAACAAAAACUUUUCCUGUCUUUUAGUAACCACUUUCCACCUCCUAUUGCU
RNAcentral lists this long non-coding RNA (1096 nucleotides) under Anas platyrhynchos platyrhynchos (common mallard). Its description in RNAcentral is "lncRNA (ENSAPLG00000028016.1)". The record is from RNAcentral. Lineage: Eukaryota; Metazoa; Chordata; Aves; Anseriformes; Anatidae.